CAUAGUAUUUGGAGCCAGCUACGGCUAAGGCUUCAGCAGCCUCCCUGAUCAGGGCUCAGCCACUGCAAAUUUAGGGAAAGAUGUUGGGGGUCCUGGCCUUGUUGGCUUCGCUUGUCUUUCUCCUGAUCUUGGCAGCACCCUAUAUCAGGAAAGCGGUUUCCAAAGGAAUAUGUACAUCAACUGUGCAGCUUCCUGGAAAGGUAGCAAUAGUCACUGGAGCCAACACGGGCAUUGGGAAGGAGACAGCCAAAGACCUUGCUCAGAGAGGAGCUCGAGUUUAUAUUGCUUGUAGGGAUUUGCAAAAGGGGGAGUUGGCCGCCAGUGAAAUCCGGGCUAAGACAGGGAACCAGCAGGUGUUGGUGCGGAAGCUGGACCUGGCUGACACCAAAUCAAUCCGAGCCUUUGCUGAAGCCUUCCUGGCAGAGGAAAAACAGCUUCACAUCUUGAUCAACAAUGCAGGAGUGAUGAUGUGCCCCUACUCCAAAACAGCUGAUGGAUUUGAGAUGCACAUGGGAGUCAAUCACUUAGGUCAUUUUCUUCUGACCCACCUGUUGCUAGAGAGGCUGAAGGAAUCAGCCCCAUCAAGGGUGGUGAAUGUGUCUUCCUUGGCAUUCCACUUGGGCAGGAUCCAUUUUUAUAACCUACAUGGUGAGAAGUACUAUAACCCAGGCCUUGCCUACUGCCACAGCAAGCUGGCCAACGUGCUUUUUACCCAGGAGUUAGCUCGGAGACUAAAAGGUACUGGGGUUACUACGUAUUCUGUACACCCAGGAACUGUCAACUCUGAAUUGUGUCGGCAUUCAACUUUCAUGAAACUGAUGUGGAAACUCUUUGCUGUCUUCAUUAAGACACCGCAGGAGGGAGCUCAGACCAGCCUGUACUGUGCCUUGACGGAGGGCCUUGAGCCUCUGAGUGGGAAACAUUUCAGUGAAUGCAGUCCUGCAUGGAUUUCCUCCAGGGGACACAACAUGACAACAGCAAGGCGGUUAUGGGAUGUCAGCUGUGAUCUGCUGGGAAUCCAGCAGGACUGAUAGAUGGGAGUAGCCUAUCACUACUCAGUUUUAAUGUGCCAAAAGGAUUUCUACAAGGGCAUUAUCCUGAACUACCUGUAAAAAUUGGCCAGGAUUCUGACUACUGGAUCGCUGUGGCCUGUUCUCCAGACCUUUGAAACUCCUAAAGUGGAGAAUGCCACUCUCUUCACUUAAAAAUGGAAAGAAUAAGUGAAAAAGCCAAGCAUGAAGCUCCAUUUUUCAUGGCCACAUGAAGGAAACCUUAGAGGUCCUAAGGCUUCUCUCCUUAUGGAAUAGUCUCUCACCGUGAGUGGAGGAGUCAACAAAUGAAGCCAAAUGAGAGAACGAAGCAAAAGAGCACAAGACUCAUCUUUUCAGCACAUGUUCUCUCAGCAAUGCUCUAUGAUUGUAAAUCUUGGAACACGUAGGAAUCAAAGUUGUGGAUGACGCAAAGGAUUCAAGCAGGCUGUAGUAUAUUUUCAAUGACAGUAUAUAUUCAAGAAGUGAUAUAAGGGACAUAAUUGUAAAAAAACAAUGUCUGAUGGGACAAGGAAAUGGGUCGAUCCUGUGGGAAGAGUGUGGGAUAACAGAUAAAUAGCCAGAGGGUAUUGUGAAAAAGACCUAGAAGAAAACCUCUAGAAAGUUUGUUGGACUUUUUGUGCAAGAUCAAUUGAAGAAUAUGGAAAAGAAUAACAGAGGAUGAAAAGGCAUGGAGGGGUUCCAUUCUGUAUUGGAGAGGGGAGAGUACCUAGCUUGAGUGGUGCAUUACAGAUCCCUUGAAGUAUACAUUAAGUAUUAUCACAUGGUUAAGAAUUGGAAAUCAAAGGGAUGCCUAUCAAUUGGGGAAUGGUUAAACAAGCUGUGGUAUAUGAUUGUAA
Molecule: RNA transcript, 1888 nt
Organism: Vombatus ursinus (common wombat)
Lineage: Eukaryota; Metazoa; Chordata; Mammalia; Diprotodontia; Vombatidae
Gene name: retinol dehydrogenase 11-like
Exons: 8
Source: RefSeq, a predicted model, not a curated record